Molecule: ribosomal RNA, 440 nt
Filed under: uncultured bacterium
Lineage: Bacteria
Description: partial 16S ribosomal RNA
Rfam family: Bacterial small subunit ribosomal RNA
Source: RNAcentral
CCUACGGGAGGCAGCAGUGGGGAAUAUUGCACAAUGGGGGAAACCCUGACGCAGCGACGCCGCGUGAGUGAUGAAGUACUUCGGUAUGUAAAGCUCUAUUGGCAGGGAAGAAAAUAACGGUACGUGAGUAAGAAGCCCCGGCUAAAUACGUGCCAGCAGCCGCGGUAAUACGUAGGGGGCAAGCGUUAUCCGGAUUUACUGGGUGUAAAGGGAGCGUAGACGGUAGUGCAAGUCUGGAGUGAAAGGCGGGGGCUCAACCGCCGGAGUGCACUGGAAACUGUACGGCUGGAGUGCAGGAGAGGUAAGUGGAAUUCCUAGUGUAGCGGUGAAAUGCGUAGAGAUAAGGAGGAACACCAGUGGCGAAGGCGGCUUACUGGACUGUAACUGACGUUGAGGCUCGAAAGCGUGGGGAGCAAACAGGAUUAGAUACCCUUGUAGUC